UACAGAGGUCUCAACCGUUGUUCGGAAUUACUGGGCGUAAAGGGCGCGUAGGCGGCCUUGUAAGUCUCGUGUGAAAGCCCUCGGCUUAACUGAGGAUCUGCACGGGAUACUGCGAGGCUUGAGUUCGGGAGAGGAAAGCGGAAUUCCGGGUGUAGCGGUGAAAUGCGUAGAUAUCCGGAGGAACACCAGUGGCGAAGGCGGCUUUCUGGACCGACACUGACGCUGAUGCGCGAAAGCUAGGGGAGCAAACGGG
RNAcentral lists this ribosomal RNA (253 nucleotides) under uncultured bacterium. Its description in RNAcentral is "partial 16S ribosomal RNA". It matches the Rfam family "Bacterial small subunit ribosomal RNA", at positions 524 to 776 of the family's 1533-position model. The record is from RNAcentral.